This 484-nucleotide ribosomal RNA is filed under the name uncultured bacterium. Its description in RNAcentral is "partial 16S ribosomal RNA". It matches the Rfam family "Bacterial small subunit ribosomal RNA", at positions 28 to 507 of the family's 1533-position model. The record is from RNAcentral.
AUUGAACGCUGGCGGCAUGCUUUACACAUGCAAGUCGAACGGCAGCGUGGGCUUCGGCCUGGCGGCGAGUGGCGAACGGGUGAGUAAUGCAUCGGAACGUGCCCAGUAGUGGGGGAUAGCCCGGCGAAAGCCGGAUUAAUACCGCAUACGACCUGAGGGUGAAAGCGGGGGACCGAAAGGCCUCGCGCUAUUGGCGCGGCCGAUGUCGGAUUAGCUAGUUGGUGGGGUAAAGGCUUACCAAGGCGACGAUCCGUAGCUGGUCUGAGAGGACGACCAGCCACACUGGGACUGAGACACGGCCCAGACUCCUACGGGAGGCAGCAGUGGGGAAUUUUGGACAAUGGGGGCAACCCUGAUCCAGCCAUGCCGCGUGCGGGAAGAAGGCCUUCGGGUUGUAAACCGCUUUUGUUCGGGAAGAAAUCCUCUGGGCUAAUACCCCGGGGGGAUGACGGUACCGGAAGAAUAAGCACCGGCUAACUACGUG